RNAcentral lists this ribosomal RNA (460 nucleotides) under uncultured bacterium. RNAcentral's name for it is "bacterial SSU rRNA". It matches the Rfam family "Bacterial small subunit ribosomal RNA", at positions 343 to 794 of the family's 1533-position model. The record is from RNAcentral.
UGGAGGCAGCAGUGGGGAAUUUUGCGCAAUGGGCGAAAGCCUGACGCAGCGACGCCGCGUGAGGGAAGAAGGUUUUCGGAUCGUAAACCUCUGUCGGGGGGGAAGAAACUCCGGGUGGCUAAUACCCAUCCGGAUUGACGGUACCCCCUAAGGAAGCAUCGGCUAACUACGUGCCAGCAGCCGCGGUAAUACGUAGGAUGCAAGCGUUGCUCGGAAUUAUUGGGUGUAAAGGGCGCGUAGGUGGCCUGAUAAGUCAUAGGUGAAAGCCCUCGGCUUAACCGAGGAAUUGCCUAUGAUACUGUCGGGCUUGAGUACUGGAGAGGGGAGUGGAAUUCCUGGUGUAGCGGUGAAAUGCGUAGAUAUCAGGAGGAACACCGGUGGCGAAGGCGGCUCCCUGGACAGAUACUGACACUGAGGCGCGAAAGCGUGGGUAGCAAACAGGAUUAGAUACCCCGGUAGU